RNAcentral lists this small RNA (28 nucleotides) under Bombyx mori (domestic silkworm). RNAcentral's name for it is "ovarian small RNA-11456". The record is from RNAcentral. Lineage: Eukaryota; Metazoa; Arthropoda; Insecta; Lepidoptera; Bombycidae.
ACGAUUUGUAUGGCCUCACUCAGGAAGG